Molecule: ribosomal RNA, 388 nt
Filed under: uncultured bacterium
Lineage: Bacteria
Description: bacterial SSU rRNA
Rfam family: Bacterial small subunit ribosomal RNA
Source: RNAcentral
GACGAACGCUGGCGGCGUGCUUAACACAUGCAAGUCGAGCGGUAAGGCCCUUUCGGGGGUACACGAGCGGCGAACGGGUGAGUAACACGUGGGUGACCUGCCCUCAGCUCUGGGAUAAGCCCGGGAAACUGGGUCUAAUACCGGAUAUGACUCCAUGACGCAUGUUGUGGGGUGGAAAGCCUUGUGCGGCUGAGGAUGGGCCCGCGGCCUAUCAGCUCGUUGGUGGGGUGAUGGCCUACCAAGGCGACGACGGGUAGCCGGCCUGAGAGGGCGACCGGCCACACUGGGACUGAGACACGGCCCAGACUCCUACGGGAGGCAGCAGUGGGGAAUCUUGCGCAAUGGGCGAAAGCCUGACGCAGCGACGCCGCGUGAGGGAUGACGGCCU